UACAGAGGGGGCAAGCGUUGUUCGGAAUUACUGGGCGUAAAGGGCGCGUAGGCGGCCCGUUAAGUCGAACGUGAAAUCCCCGGGCUCAACCCGGGAACUGCGUCCGAGACUGGCAGGCUCGAAUCCGGGAGAGGGAUGUGGAAUUCCAGGUGUAGCGGUGAAAUGCGUAGAUAUCUGGAGGAACACCGGUGGCGAAGGCGGCAUCCUGGACCGGUAUUGACGCUGAGGCGCGAAAGCCAGGGGAGCAAACGGG
This 253-nucleotide ribosomal RNA is filed under the name uncultured bacterium. Its description in RNAcentral is "partial 16S ribosomal RNA". It matches the Rfam family "Bacterial small subunit ribosomal RNA", at positions 524 to 776 of the family's 1533-position model. The record is from RNAcentral.